GAUGAACGCUGGCGGCGUGCCUAAUACAUGCAAGUCGAGCGAACAGAUAAGGAGUUUGCUCCUUUGACGAUCGCGGCGGACGGGUGAGUAACACGUGGGUCAUCUAUCUAUAAGACUGGGAUCACUUCGGGAAACCGGAGCUUAUACCGGAACACAUUAGGAAACGUAUGGUUCUAUAGAAAAAGAUGGUUUUGCUAUCACUUAUAGAUGGACCCGCGCCGUAUUAGCUAGUUGGUAAGGUAACGGCUUACCAAGGCAACGAUACGUAGCCGACCUGAGAGGGGGAUCGGCCACACUGGAACUGAGACACGGCCCAGACUCCUACGGGAGCCAGCGUAGGGGAAUCUUCCGCAAUGGGCGAAAUCCGGACGGAGCAACGCCGGUUGGGGGAUGAAGGGUUUCGGUUGUUAAACCUCGUUGAUUAGGGAGGAACAGUCUCGUAAGUAUCUGUGCACGCCUUGACGGUACCUAAUCAGAAAGCCACGGCUAACUACGUG
This 497-nucleotide ribosomal RNA is filed under the name uncultured bacterium. RNAcentral describes it as "partial 16S ribosomal RNA". It matches the Rfam family "Bacterial small subunit ribosomal RNA", at positions 28 to 507 of the family's 1533-position model. The record is from RNAcentral.